GACGAACCGUCCUAACGUUGUUCGGAAUCACUGGGCUUAAAGGGCGCGUAGGCGGUCAGCAAAGUCAGGGGUGAAAUCUUUCGGCUUAACCGGAAAAGUGCCUUUGAAACUAGCUGGCUCGAGUGAGAUAGGGGCAUGUGGAACUUCCGGUGGAGCGGUGAAAUGCGUUGAUAUCGGAAGGAACGCCGGUGGCGAAAGCGACAUGCUGGAUCUCUUCUGACGCUGAGGCGCGAAAGCUAGGGGAGCAAACGGG
RNAcentral lists this ribosomal RNA (253 nucleotides) under uncultured bacterium. Its description in RNAcentral is "partial 16S ribosomal RNA". It matches the Rfam family "Bacterial small subunit ribosomal RNA", at positions 524 to 776 of the family's 1533-position model. The record is from RNAcentral.